RNAcentral lists this ribosomal RNA (481 nucleotides) under uncultured bacterium. Its description in RNAcentral is "partial 16S ribosomal RNA". It matches the Rfam family "Bacterial small subunit ribosomal RNA", at positions 28 to 507 of the family's 1533-position model. The record is from RNAcentral.
GAUGAACGCUGGCGGCGUGCUUAACACUUGCAAGUCGAACGAAGCACUUUAUUUGAUUUCCUUCGGGACUGAUUAUUUUGUGACUGAGUGGCGGACGGGUGAGUAACGCGUGGGUAACCUGCCUUGUACAGGGGGAUAACAGUUGGAAACGGCUGCUAAUACCGCAUAAGCGCACGGCAUCGCAUGAUGCAGUGUGAAAAACUCCGGUGGUAUAAGAUGGACCCGCGUUGGAUUAGCUAGUUGGUGAGGUAACGGCCCACCAAGGCGACGAUCCAUAGCCGACCUGAGAGGGUGACCGGCCAAAUUGGGACUGAGACACGGCCCAAACUCCUACGGGAGGCAGCAGUGGGGAAUAUUGCACAAUGGGCGAAAGCCUGAUGCAGCGACGCCGCGUGAGCGAAGAAGUGUUUCGGUAUGUAAAGCUCUAUCAGCAGGGAAGAUAAUGACGGUACCUGACUAAGAAGCACCGGCUAAAUACGUG